UACGGGGGGGGCAAGCGUUGUUCGGAAUUACUGGGCGUAAAGGGCUCGUAGGCGGCCAACUAAGUCAGACGUGAAAUCCCCAGGCUUAACCUGGGAACUGCGUCUGAUACUGGAUGGCUUGAAUUCGGGAGAGGGAUGCAGAAUUCCAGGUGUAGCGGUGAAAUGCGUAGAUAUCUGGAGGAAUACCGGUGGCGAAGGCAGUUCUCUGGGCCGUAACUGACGCUGAGGAGCGAAAGCGUGGGGAGCGAACAGG
RNAcentral lists this ribosomal RNA (253 nucleotides) under uncultured bacterium. Its description in RNAcentral is "partial 16S ribosomal RNA". It matches the Rfam family "Bacterial small subunit ribosomal RNA", at positions 524 to 776 of the family's 1533-position model. The record is from RNAcentral.